Molecule: ribosomal RNA, 488 nt
Filed under: uncultured bacterium
Lineage: Bacteria
Description: partial 16S ribosomal RNA
Rfam family: Bacterial small subunit ribosomal RNA
Source: RNAcentral
AUUGAACGCUGGCGGCAUGCUUUACACAUGCAAGUCGAACGGCAGCACAGGGAGCUUGCUCCUGGGUGGCGAGUGGCGAACGGGUGAGUAAUGUAUCGGAACGUGCCUGGUAGUGGGGGAUAACUACUCGAAAGAGUGGCUAAUACCGCAUGAGAUCUUUGGAUGAAAGCGGGGGACCUUCGGGCCUCGUGCUACUGGAGCGGCCGAUAUCAGAUUAGGUUGUUGGUGGGGUAAAGGCCUACCAAGCCUGCGAUCUGUAGCUGGUCUGAGAGGACGAUCAGCCACACUGGGACUGAGACACGGCCCAGACUCCUACGGGAGGCAGCAGUGGGGAAUUUUGGACAAUGGGCGCAAGCCUGAUCCAGCAAUGCCGCGUGCAGGACGAAGGCCUUCGGGUUGUAAACUGCUUUUGUACAGAACGAAAAGUCUCUGGCUAAUAUCUAGAGAUCAUGACGGUACUGUAAGAAUAAGCACCGGCUAACUACGUG